AGUUGGAAGAGGAGGAAGUACUUAGAAAAUGUCACUGUUUUCUUCCUGUGGGAGUUUCUACAGACUUUCAUUCUGAACAGACCAGCAUAUGAAGGGUGUAGGAACACAAAAUCAUCUGCAUAUAACAGAACCUGCAAUGAAAUCAAUCAUCAGCGUGAGAUAAAACAACAAAUUACAUUCAUCCUAAGCUUAAGAAAAGACCAUGAUCAUCAUCUUCUGCUUACUGACCAAUGUUGUUCCAGCUUUAGGAGCUUCUCUCAGCGAUCAGGUCCAUCAGACUCCGGCUGAUAUGUUCUACAAACCAGGAGAGGCUGCCGUUAUCAACUGUUCACACACCAUUGAUAGCUACGAUCGGAUCCUCUGGUACAAACACUCAAACGGCAACCAGAUGCAGUUCCUGGGAUACAUGAACAUAAAAUUUGGAACUCCAGAGCCGGGAGUCAAAGUGAAAAUCAAUGGCAGCGCAAACAAAAACGAUCUCUGCACUCUGACGGUGGAGGAUCUGAGCGUGAGCAGCAGCGCCGUUUAUUUCUGCGCCGCUAGAUACCACAGUGCUUCAUAUUAAUGCUCCCCAGCACAAAAACC
Non-coding RNA from Poecilia latipinna (sailfin molly), 585 nucleotides. Lineage: Eukaryota; Metazoa; Chordata; Actinopteri; Cyprinodontiformes; Poeciliidae. The record is from the annotation of a RefSeq genome assembly.